AGAGUUUGAUCCUGGCUCAGGAUGAACGCUGGCGGCGUGCCUAACACAUGCAAGUCGAGCGAUCUUCUUCGGAAGAGAGCGGCGGACGGGUGAGUAACGCGUGGGUAACCUGCCCUGUACACACGGAUAACAUACCGAAAGGUAUGCUAAUACGAGAUAAUAUACUUUUAUCGCAUGGUAGAAGUAUCAAAGCUCUGGCGGUACAGGAUGGACCCGCAUCUGAUUAGCUAGUUGGUAAGGUAACGGCUUACCAAGGCGACGAUCAGUAGCCGACCUGAGAGGGUGAUCGGCCACAUUGGAACUGAGACACGGUCCAAACUCCUACGGGAGGCAGCAGUGGGGAAUAUUGCACAAUGGGCGAAAGCCUGAUGCAGCAACGCCGCGUGAGCGAUGAAGGCCUUCGGGUCGUAAAGCUCUGUCCUCAAGGAAGAUAAUGACGGUACUUGAGGAGGAAGCCCCGGCUAACUACGUGCCAGCAGCCGCGGUAAUACGUAGGGGGCUAGCGUUAUCCGGAAUUACUGGGCGUAAAGGGUGCGUAGGUGGUUUCUUAAGUCAGAGGUGAAAGGCUACGGCUCAACCGUAGUAAGCCUUUGAAACUGGGAAACUUGAGUGCAGGAGAGGAGAGUGGAAUUCCUAGUGUAGCGGUGAAAUGCGUAGAUAUUAGGAGGAACACCAGUUGCGAAGGCGGCUCUCUGGACUGUAACUGACACUGAGGCACGAAAGCGUGGGGAGCAAACAGGAUUAGAUACCCUGGUAGUCCACGCCGUAAACGAUGAGUACUAGCUGUCGGAGGUUACCCCCUUCGGUGGCGCAGCUAACGCAUUAAGUACUCCGCCUGGGAAGUACGCUCGCAAGAGUGAAACUCAAAGGAAUUGACGG
Molecule: ribosomal RNA, 879 nt
Filed under: uncultured bacterium
Lineage: Bacteria
Description: bacterial SSU rRNA
Rfam family: Bacterial small subunit ribosomal RNA
Source: RNAcentral